CCGCCGGCGACCGGCGCACGGGUGGGUAACACGUAUGCAACCUGGCCGUGACAGAUGGAUAACCGGGAGAAAUCCCGCCUAAUACAACAUAAUGCCGGGAGGGGACAUCCCCUGCCGGCCAAAGGGGGCGACCCCGGUCACGGAUGGGCAUGCGGCGCAUUAGGUAGUUGGUGGGGCAACGGCCCACCAAGCCGACGAUGCGUAGGGGUUCUGAGAGGAAGGUCCCCCACAUUGGAACUGAGACACGGUCCAAACUCCUACGGAAGGCAGCAG
This 273-nucleotide ribosomal RNA is filed under the name uncultured bacterium. Its description in RNAcentral is "partial 16S ribosomal RNA". It matches the Rfam family "Bacterial small subunit ribosomal RNA", at positions 85 to 354 of the family's 1533-position model. The record is from RNAcentral.